Molecule: long non-coding RNA, 1625 nt
Organism: Pseudomyrmex gracilis
Lineage: Eukaryota; Metazoa; Arthropoda; Insecta; Hymenoptera; Formicidae
Exons: 4
Source: RefSeq, a predicted model, not a curated record
UCAGGCGCGGCGGCGGCGUCAUCUCCCCUAGGCGCACUUUGGCCCUCGCCACCCUACUGGACUCCCGUUCCCCUCCCGCUGUGACGGCCCAUCGACUUGGACGAAUCGAUACCGGCGUUCUGGAAAACGUUCUGGCUCGAAUGCAUCGCAGUUUAUAUUCUCCAUCGUUUGGGUCCAAAUGCGCGGAAUAAUUCGGUACAACGACUCCGACUCCUCGCCUUGCCUCGCCUCGUCUUUUGCGGAAGAAAACAAUCCCCGUUAUUAGACGACCGGCGAAUAACACGCGACUGCAAUAAGCGAAAUCGCCGACUCAAAAGAGAGGUGUCCGGCAGCAGCAGCAGCAGCAAACAACGACGGUUUCAGAGAAAACGAAUGACUGCGGCGAGCUCGUCCGAGUCCUACUUAAAGAAAUGGAUACGGUAAUCGCGAGACCGCGUCGGCGACCAGGAAUACGAGCCGAUUCGACGCGUUAAAUGUUCCUCUAGAGAAUCCACGGCGGAGAGGUUCUCUCUUUCUCUUUUUGCGAAUCUGGGAUGGCUAUUGAAAGCGGCAAGAUUGGGCAACAGCGGCAUCAGAAGCGAUAUCGGAUCAAACUCAGUUAACAAGCUCGUGCUCGUCGUCAUAUCGGUUGUCGUUCGAGUAGAUAGAUUUUAAAUCGAGUCAACCGCGCGCGGGAACAACAACGGCAACGAAGUUAGCGCGGCAAAAUAAUCCGAGAGUCUAUUGGAUCGCGCGUAUCUCGUGUAUAUAAUGGAAACACACGAGCCGCCGAAGGGACGAUAGUGGACCCGGGAAAGGUCGAUGGUUGUGGGAGAAGAAAUUGGAUCUUGCCUCGCACGUCGCCUAAUCAUCGCUCACGAAGUUAUCCAGGAAACACACACUUCACGUUCAAGCGAAGUACAAAGAUGUAGAUAAAUACAGGUGUAGUUACACAGGAGAUACCCUUGCGCUCAUCUCCCCCUCUUUCUCGUUCGAAAAGUUUCCGCGUGUAUAUCCGCGAAGAAAACGAAAAUUAGCGACGACACCGUCACGGGUUGACGCGAAAUACAACUGCUCGCCGUUGGAAAGAAACGCGCUGGAUGCCGCAAUCAAAGGACAGGCUCGACAGACAGUCGGCGAUUUCAGGAAUGUGACAGGCGACCGUUCUCGCUUCGCGAGAAGGUAUCAUUAUCCUUGGAUAGGAAACGUAGAACAACAGGAAGCGGAAAAUAAAUAACAGACCCAGCGGGAAUAAGACUUGUGUUCCAAAUAAGUGUCCUUACGGCUCCAGGUUUCCUUCUUUUCGCCGUUGUUGUGUCGUCGUCGUCGUUUCGCGUUGUGAAGCGACCCUGUUAUGGAAUGAACCGAUGCCCGAACGGGGCGUUUAAGUGUCCGCGAUCAUCCAUCCCAACACAACAACCUGGUCGAGCAUCAUGACCCCGAUGAUACGGCUGCUCCUUCUGCCCGCUCUGCUGGCCGUACAGUCGUGCACGAUUGUCUGCUCGGCGAGCGGCGAUGGCGGGCCUAACAGCGCGAUCUUCAAAGUGGACCACACGGCCUUGGAGAAAAAUCUGGCGGCAAUCUUCAACAAAGUAGCGCACAGCUCCGCGACCACGAAACGCAGUGUGCCGGCGUACGACGCCCAG